UCCAGACUUGUCCUUUAACUCAGGGUGCUUGGACUCCAGGCAGCAAAGCAGUUUUUAACGCUUCAUUUUUGGGUAGCCAUUUACCACACAUUAUAAAAAUCAGACUUACAGACUACCUAUUGCAAUGAACCCUAUAGUGUAAGUUGGACUCUUCGUGUAUCUGGCUUUCUUUUUGUUGGCUUCUGCUGUCUCAUCAGUGCCCUUUUCGAAGAAUAGCUCCAGUGGUAUUGUUUUGUUGUUCUUGUUGUUGUUGUUGUUGGUUGGUUGGUUUACUCAUUUUGGAAAGGAUUUACUUGUAGGUUUAUUCAUAAUGGUGACCAAGACAAGUGUGCAGUGUGGGAAAGAAGUGCAGAUGGAAAUGGUAAAUAAAAUAAUGGGCAGACCAUGCAUGGAAUAAGGGAUCAAACUCAGGACCUUGUGUUUGCGGCUAGCAGGCGGUGGAACCACUGAGCUAAAUCCCUGGCUUAAAUACUUCAGUUUUUGGCACCAUCAAGUGAACAGCUUUGCCCCACCAUGCCCUUCUACCAUGAUGUUUCUGCCUUGGAACCAGCCGCCCAUGAACUGACGCCCCUGAAAC
Molecule: long non-coding RNA, 577 nt
Filed under: Heterocephalus glaber (naked mole-rat)
Lineage: Eukaryota; Metazoa; Chordata; Mammalia; Rodentia; Bathyergidae
Description: lncRNA (ENSHGLG00100050943.1)
Source: RNAcentral